This is a long non-coding RNA of Platichthys flesus (European flounder), 463 nucleotides long. RefSeq lists it as uncharacterized. The record is from RefSeq and is a predicted model, not a curated record. The transcript has 3 exons. Lineage: Eukaryota; Metazoa; Chordata; Actinopteri; Pleuronectiformes; Pleuronectidae.
UCUCCGAUAUAUAACCACAGGGGCUCAGGAUUACUUUACUACGUAGUUAAGUCCACGAAUGCCAGUUGAAACUUCACCGUGCCAGAAGGAAGCCGUGUGUAAACCGUGUCCAGAAGCGCUGUCCACUUCUCUGGGCUCGAAGGCGUCUGGGGAGAAAUGGACGCCAUGUGCUACCUGACCAGAGGAGUAGAAUGACACCUUCAUCACUCGAGAAUGGCAACAUUACAAAGUGCUUCCUCCAGAAAGCGACAGGGCCGAGGUGUCGAUUCCCUGCCAGGCCGCUCUGCCGUGACACAUCCGUCCAUCUGUCGGGCUCACAGAGCCAUCAAUCACAGCUGAGUGCAGACGGAAAUGAAAAGAGUGCACAGGUGAACGACAGCUCAGCCUCAGGGAUGGGAUGAGAUCCAGGAGGAGGAUGAGAGAGGAAGAAGAGAGCGAUGGAGACUCGGAGAGGAAGAGAGGU